UCUUCGGAAUUAGAGACCGGCGCACGGGUGCGUAACGCGUAUGCAAUCUACCUUUUACAGAGGGAUAGCCCAGAGAAAUUUGGAUUAAUACCUCAUAGUAUAGCAGUUUCGCAUGAAACCACUAUUAAAGUCACAACGGUAAAAGAUGAGCAUGCGUCCCAUUAGCUAGUUGGUAAGGUAACGGCUUACCAAGGCUACGAUGGGUAGGGGUCCUGAGAGGGAGAUCCCCCACACUGGUACUGAGACACGGACCAGACUCCUACGGGAGGCAGCAGUGAGGAAUAUUGGACAAUGGGCGCAAGCCUGAUCCAGCCAUGCCGCGUGCAGGAUGACGGUCCUAUGGAUUGUAAACUGCUUUUAUACAGGAAGAAACCCUGGUUCGUGAACCAGCUUGACGGUACUGUAAGAAUAAGGAUCGGCUAACUCCGUGCCAGCAGCCGCGGUAAUACGGAGGAUCCAAGCGUUAUCCGGAAUCAUUGGGUUUAAAGGGUCCGUAGGCGGUUUAAUAAGUCAGUGGUGAAAGCCCAUCGCUCAACGGUGGAACGGCCAUUGAUACUGUUAAACUUGAAUUAUUAGGAAGUAACUAGAAUAUGUAGUGUAGCGGUGAAAUGCUUAGAGAUUACAUGGAAUACCAAUUGCGAAGGCAGGUUACUACUAAUUGAUUGACGCUGAUGGACGAAAGCGUGGGUAGCGAACAGGAUUAGAUACCCUGGUAGUCCACGCCGUAAACGAUGGAUACUAGCUGUUGGGAGCAAUCUCAGUGGCUAAGCGAAAGUGAUAAGUAUCCCACCUGGGGAGUACGUUCGCAAGAAUGAAACUCAAAGGAAUUGACGGGGGCCCGCACAAGCGGUGGAGCAUGUGGUUUAAUUCGAUGAUACGCGAGGAACCUUACCAAGGCUUAAAUGUAGUUUGACCGAUUUGGAAACAGAUUUUUCGCAAGACAAAUUACAAGGUGCUGCAUGGUUGUCGUCAGCUCGUGCCGUGAGGUGUCAGGUUAAGUCCUAUAACGAGCGCAACCCCUGUUGUUAGUUGCCAGCGAGUCAUGUCGGGAACUCUAACAAGACUGCCAGUGCAACUGUGAG
This 1082-nucleotide ribosomal RNA is filed under the name Flavobacterium sp. Its description in RNAcentral is "bacterial SSU rRNA". It matches the Rfam family "Bacterial small subunit ribosomal RNA", at positions 77 to 1168 of the family's 1533-position model. Lineage: Bacteria; Pseudomonadati; Bacteroidota; Flavobacteriia; Flavobacteriales; Flavobacteriaceae. The record is from RNAcentral.